CGCAUCUGUGCAUGCAGCAUAUCAAUAAGCGGAGGAAAAGAAACUAACAAGGAUUCCCUUAGUAACGGCGAGUGAAGCGGGAAGAGCUCAAAUUUGAAAUCUUCAAGGUUUUACCUUGACGAAUUGUAGUUUAAAGAAGUGUUUUCUGUUGAAGUUUUGGUAAAAGUUCUUUGGAAUAGGACAUCAUAGAGGGUGAGAAUCCCGUAUUUGACCAUUAUUUUCAGCUGUGUGAUACACUUUCAAAGAGUCGGAUUGUUUGGGAAUGCAGUCCAAAAUGGGUGGUAAAUUUCAUCUAAAGCUAAAUAUUGGCGAGAGACCGAUAGCGAACAAGUACCGUGAGGGAAAGAUGAAAAGAACUUUGAAAAGAGAGUUAAACAGUACGUGAAAUUGUCAAAAGGGAAGCGUUUGACACCAGUGUUGUUUUCUCGAAAAUCAAUUAAAAAGAGUUAGCUUUUGUUGUGUAUUGACCUUAACAGCUUGCAUUUCAAUUUUCUUGCUUUUUUUAAUGCACUUUUCGUUUAACAAGUCAACAUCAGUUUCUCUUGUUGUAAAAAGGUCAUUGGAAGGUGGCUUUCUUUUCGGAGAAAGUGUUUAUAGCCUUUGACUCCUGCAAUCGGAGAGACUGAGGUCUGCAGCGUAGAUCCUUCGGGGUUAGAUACAUUUGUGCUAAGUUAUAGCUUUUUAUAGACAACUUGUUGACUAUGAUUAGUCUUGUAGCUUACUCGCUUAUGCUAUUUUACCUACGCUUAGGAUGUUGAACUCUAUCACACACAG
RNAcentral lists this ribosomal RNA (774 nucleotides) under uncultured Neocallimastigales. Its description in RNAcentral is "partial large subunit ribosomal RNA". It matches the Rfam family "Eukaryotic large subunit ribosomal RNA", at positions 26 to 621 of the family's 3401-position model. The record is from RNAcentral. Lineage: Eukaryota; Fungi; Neocallimastigomycota; Neocallimastigomycetes; Neocallimastigales.